This 207-nucleotide ribosomal RNA is filed under the name uncultured bacterium. RNAcentral's name for it is "partial 16S ribosomal RNA". It matches the Rfam family "Bacterial small subunit ribosomal RNA", at positions 568 to 774 of the family's 1533-position model. The record is from RNAcentral.
CGCGUAGGCGGUUCGCUAAGUUGAAUGUGAAAACUCUGGGCUUAACCCAGAGCCUGCAUCCAAAACUGGCGAACUGGAGUACUGGAGGGGAAAGCGGAAUUCCUGGUGUAGCGGUGAAAUGCGUAGAUAUCAGGAGGAACACCGGUGGCGAAGGCGGCUUUCUGGACAGUAACUGACGCUGAGGCGCGAAAGCCGGGGGGAGAAACA